This 431-nucleotide ribosomal RNA is filed under the name uncultured bacterium. Its description in RNAcentral is "partial 16S ribosomal RNA". It matches the Rfam family "Bacterial small subunit ribosomal RNA", at positions 29 to 507 of the family's 1533-position model. The record is from RNAcentral.
AACGAACGCUGGCGGCAGGCUUAACACAUGCAAGUCGAGCGCCCCGCCAGGGGAGCGGUAGACGGGUGAGUAACGCGUGGGAACGUACCUUUUGGUUCGGAACAACUCCGGGAAACUGGAGCUAAUACCGGAUAAGCCCUAACGGGGAAAGAGUUAUCGCCGAAAGAUCGGCCCGCGUCUGAUUAGCUAGUUGGUGAGGUAACGGCUCACCAAGGCGACGAUCAGUAGCUGGGCUGAGAGGAUGAUCAGCCACACUGGGACUGAGACACGGCCCAGACUCCUACGGGAGGGAGCAGUAGGGAAUAUUGGACAAUGGGCGCAAGCCUGAUACAGCCAUGCCGCGUAAGUGAUGAAGGCCGUAGGGUUGUAAAGCUCUUUUGUCCGGGAAGAUAAUGACUGUACCGGAAGAAUAAGCCCCGGCUAACUUCGCG